UUUUAAUAACAUAUGAGUAUGAGCUGCAUCCAGUUGGUGGAAGUUGUGAACAUAUGUUAGCUGUUGCAAUCAGUUUGUGAGGCACCAAUGCAGAAACCAGAAAUGAUAAGCAUGGCGGAUAUCUUGCCUUUCUUAACGUGCGGUGCCGUGUCGACAAGAUGUCUCUUUGAUGAGGUCUUUAGUUCUCUACUAUGUUGCAGAACAAAAAUGUGAAGAAAACAGGAAAUCUGAAAUGGUUUCCAUGGUCAGUUUGAUGUUUGAGCUGUUUAUGGUGUUGCUGUUUGGUGUGAAGUGGGUUUGCAGUCAUUUUCCACCCGAGAGAUGCGCUGAAAUGGAGCUUUGUCAGACUUGCAGUUCAACAUCAUACUUAGAUUUGUUAUUUCCCUAUGUUUGUGUCCGUGAAUAUUGAGCUGUUGGGCAAAACAGUCAACAGUUAACCUGUUUUGUGUGUGUGUGUGUUACGGAAGCUGCAUCAUUGUUUUGUUGAAUUGUCAUUGUGUCUGCAGUUUACCGUUUAUAAGUUAGGAAGGGAAAAAACAGAAUUUUGGGGAAUUUAUAUCAAACAAAUAAUAAACAAGGUUUCGGGAUUGGGAAAGGAAUGUGGAGGUUGUCAGGUGGGAGGGUGAUGACUUGAAUUUUCAUAUCUCAAUAUAUAAUGAGGUAUGUUAAUAUGUACUGACGCGAUAAAUGUGGAU
Daphnia pulex (common water flea) is the source of this 695-nucleotide long non-coding RNA. RefSeq lists it as uncharacterized. The record is from RefSeq and is a predicted model, not a curated record. NCBI's taxonomy places the organism in Eukaryota, Metazoa, Arthropoda, Branchiopoda, Diplostraca, Daphniidae. The transcript is spliced from 3 exons.